RNAcentral lists this ribosomal RNA (253 nucleotides) under uncultured bacterium. RNAcentral's name for it is "partial 16S ribosomal RNA". It matches the Rfam family "Bacterial small subunit ribosomal RNA", at positions 524 to 776 of the family's 1533-position model. The record is from RNAcentral.
UACGUAGGGUCCGAGCGUUGUCCGGAAUUAUUGGGCGUAAAGGGCUCGUAGGCGGUUUGUCGCGUCGGGAGUGAAAACACCGGGCUUAACUCGGUGCUUGCUUUCGAUACGGGCAGACUAGAGGUAUGCAGGGGAGAACGGAAUUCCUGGUGUAGAGGUGAAAUUCGUAGAUAUUGGGAGGAACACCGGUGGCGAAGGCGACCGCCUGGACAGUGACUGACGCUCAGGUGCGAAAGCGUGGGGAGCAAACAGG